RNAcentral lists this ribosomal RNA (492 nucleotides) under uncultured bacterium. RNAcentral's name for it is "partial 16S ribosomal RNA". It matches the Rfam family "Bacterial small subunit ribosomal RNA", at positions 29 to 507 of the family's 1533-position model. The record is from RNAcentral.
AGUGAACGCUGGCGGUAGGCCUAACACAUGCAAGUCGAACGGCAGCACAGUAAGAGCUUGCUCUUACGGGUGGCGAGUGGCGGACGGGUGAGGUAUACAUCGGAAUCUACUUUUUCGUGGGGGAUAACGUGGGGCAACUUACGCUAAUACCGCAUACGACCUACGGGUGAAAGCAGGAGAUCUUCGGACCUUGCGCGAUUGCAUGAGCCGAUGUCGGAUUAGCUAGUUGGCGGGGUAACGGCCCACCAAGGCGACGCUCCCUAGCUGGUCUGAGAGGAGGAAGAGCCACAGUGGAACUGAGACACGGUCCAGACUCCUACGGGAGGCAGCAGUGGGGAAUAGUGGACGAUGGGCGCAAGCCUGAUCCAGCGAUACCGCGCGGGUGAAGAAGGGCUUCGGGUUGGAAAGCCCUUUUGUUGGGAAAGAAAAGCAGCAGGUUGAUACCCCGCUGUGCUGACGGUACCCAAAGAAUAAGCACCGGCUAACUUCGUG